Molecule: ribosomal RNA, 69 nt
Filed under: Klebsiella aerogenes
Lineage: Bacteria; Pseudomonadati; Pseudomonadota; Gammaproteobacteria; Enterobacterales; Enterobacteriaceae
Also listed under: 3 other names
Description: partial 16S ribosomal RNA
Rfam family: Bacterial small subunit ribosomal RNA (bases 1-59)
Source: RNAcentral
CUGGGGUGAAGUCGUAACAAGGUAACCGUAGGGGAACCUGCGGUUGGAUCACCUCCUUACCUUAAAGAA